AGUGAACGCUGGCGGCGUGCUUAACACAUGCAAGUCGAACGAUGAAGUCCUUCGGGAUGGAUUAGUGGCGCACGGGUGAGUAAUAUAUAGAUAACGUGCCUCUUAGUCUGGGAUAGCCAUUGGAAACGAUGAUUAAUACCGGAUACUCCUUCUAGCUCUAAUGCUAGUCGGGUAAAGUUUUUCGCUAAGAGAUCGGUCUAUAUUCCAUCAGUUAGUUGGUGAGGUAAUGGCUCACCAAGGCAAUGACGGAUAGCGGGUUUGAGAGGAUGAUCCGCCACACUGGUACUGAGACACGGACCAGACUCCUACGGGAGGCAGCAGUGAGGAAUAUUGCACAAUGGGGAAACCCUGAUGCAGCAACGCCGCGUGGAGGAUGACGCAUUUCGGUGUGUAAACUCCUUUUAUAUGUCAAGAAAAUGACGGUAGCAUAUGAAUAAGCACCGGCUAACUCCGUGCCAGCAGCCGCGGUAAA
RNAcentral lists this ribosomal RNA (472 nucleotides) under uncultured bacterium. Its description in RNAcentral is "bacterial SSU rRNA". It matches the Rfam family "Bacterial small subunit ribosomal RNA", at positions 29 to 524 of the family's 1533-position model. The record is from RNAcentral.